This 130-nucleotide small RNA is filed under the name Escherichia coli. Its description in RNAcentral is "RtT sRNA". It matches the Rfam family "RtT RNA". From Rfam's summary of the family: This family represents a bacterial cis-regulatory element known as RtT RNA. The exact function of RtT is unknown although it is thought that it may be involved in changing the cellular response in relation to amino acid starvation. Lineage: Bacteria; Pseudomonadati; Pseudomonadota; Gammaproteobacteria; Enterobacterales; Enterobacteriaceae. The record is from RNAcentral.
AUUCUGCCCAUGCGGGGAAGGAUGAGAAGCUGACCAAGGUUCGCUACGAGCGCCAGCGAGAGAGCGUGGCCGCAGGCAACGACCCGAAGGGCGAAGCGCGCAGCGCUGAGUAAUCCUUCCCCCACCACCA